UACGUAGGGGGCAAGCGUUGUCCGGAAUUAUUGGGCGUAAAGAGCGUGUAGGCGGUCCGGUAAGUCAGCUGUGAAAGUCAAGGGCUCAACCCUUGAAAGCCGGUUGAUACUGUCGGGCUAGAGUCCGGAAGAGGCGAGUGGAAUUCCCGGUGUAGCGGUGAAAUGCGUAGAGAUGUGGAGGAACACCAGUGGCGAAGGCGGCUCUUUGGUCUGUAACUGACGCUGAGGCGCGAAAGCGUGGGGAGCGAACAGG
This 253-nucleotide ribosomal RNA is filed under the name uncultured bacterium. RNAcentral describes it as "partial 16S ribosomal RNA". It matches the Rfam family "Bacterial small subunit ribosomal RNA", at positions 524 to 776 of the family's 1533-position model. The record is from RNAcentral.